Molecule: transfer RNA, 70 nt
Filed under: Loxodonta africana (African savanna elephant)
Lineage: Eukaryota; Metazoa; Chordata; Mammalia; Proboscidea; Elephantidae
Rfam family: tRNA
About the family: Transfer RNA (tRNA) molecules are approximately 80 nucleotides in length. Their secondary structure includes four short double-helical elements and three loops (D, anti-codon, and T loops). Further hydrogen bonds mediate the characteristic L-shaped molecular structure. tRNAs have two regions of fundamental functional importance: the anti-codon, which is responsible for specific mRNA codon recognition, and the 3' end, to which the tRNAs corresponding amino acid is attached (by aminoacyl-tRNA synthetases). tRNAs cope with the degeneracy of the genetic code in two manners: having more than one tRNA (with a specific anti-codon) for a particular amino acid; and 'wobble' base-pairing, i.e. permitting non-standard base-pairing at the 3rd anti-codon position.
Source: Rfam by way of RNAcentral
GUAGUGGUGGUUCAGUGGUAGAGUUCUUGCCUUCCAUGCCAGAGACCUGGGUUCAUACCUGGCCAGUGCA